RNAcentral lists this ribosomal RNA (437 nucleotides) under Streptococcus mutans. Its description in RNAcentral is "bacterial SSU rRNA". It matches the Rfam family "Bacterial small subunit ribosomal RNA", at positions 28 to 446 of the family's 1533-position model. The record is from RNAcentral. Lineage: Bacteria; Bacillati; Bacillota; Bacilli; Lactobacillales; Streptococcaceae.
GACGAACGCUGGCGGCGUGCUAAUACAUGCAAGUGGGACGCAAAGGGAACACAUCUGUGCUUGCACACCGUGUUUUCUUGAGUCGCGAACGGGUGAGUAACGCGUAGGUAACCUGCCUAUUAGCGGGGGAUAACUAUUGGAAACGAUAGCUAAUACCGCAUAAUAUUAAUUAUUGCAUGAUAAUUGAUUGAAAGAUGCAAGCGCAUCACUAGUAGAUGGACCUGCGUUGUAUUAGCUAGUUGGUAAGGUAAGAGCUUACCAAGGCGACGAUACAUAGCCGACCUGAGAGGGUGAUCGGCCACACUGGGACUGAGACACGGCCCAGACUCCUACGGGAGGCAGCAGUAGGGAAUCUUCGGCAAUGGACGAAAGUCUGACCGAGCAACGCCGCGUGAGUGAAGAAGGUUUUCGGAUCGUAAAGCUCUGUUGUAAGUCAA